Long non-coding RNA from Trifolium pratense (red clover), 671 nucleotides. RefSeq lists it as uncharacterized. The record is from RefSeq and is a predicted model, not a curated record. NCBI's taxonomy places the organism in Eukaryota, Viridiplantae, Streptophyta, Magnoliopsida, Fabales, Fabaceae. The transcript has 4 exons.
CUACUUUUAUUUUUAAAUUAAUUAUAAUUUAAGUGUUAUAUUCUAUUAAUUUAGAUUUUGGUCCUUCUUCUGCAUUAAUCAUAAAGAUUUCUGGGAAACCGCUAAAAAAAGAUUUUGGUCCUUCUUCUGCAUUUACCCGUAUUUUUUGUUCUUCCUCUGUUUUCCCUCUUCGACAGUCACGCUCGCCGUCGUUGUUCUGGUGAGAUCAACUCUUCACGUGUGCGACGCUUUUCUCUUCUCCGACUGAACAAUAACACGGUAUAUACAAUACUAAAAUAUUUACAAUUUGGCCAAGUAGUACACAUUUGAUAUUUAUAUAUUUCACAAGGGUACACCUGAUCAUCAGGAGCAUAUAAAUUGUUCAAAGUGCACCUAGUUAUGCACCGCACUUUUUUGCACAAUUCUCUCCGGGAGGCAUUCACCCGUCACAUUCUAACACCGUUCUACAUGCGGGAACACAAAGUGCACCUAGAUAUACCUCGUUUACGUCUGCGUUGGAGGAGGUGGAGCGUUCGGCAAAUCGUCGCAAGUUAUAGAAAGUGAAAUCAUAUUGUUACAUGCAUUUCAAGCUGUUUUUUACUCUGUCAAUGUUAUUGUGGCUCCUAUUUUGACAUUCAAAUUUCAAAUACCAAAUUUAUUAAAUAAUAAUUACAAUUAAUUUGCUGAUUGAA